UUCUACAUGCAUAUGGAGACCUUCACAAGC
Molecule: non-coding RNA, 30 nt
Filed under: Rattus norvegicus (Norway rat)
Lineage: Eukaryota; Metazoa; Chordata; Mammalia; Rodentia; Muridae
Source: RNAcentral